CGUGUUUGUAAAAAAUGACACUUUUUAAAAUUCAGCUCUAGCCCAUAUUCUUCGCACGUCUUGAGAACUUCUUUCAGGUUUGCUAGGGCUUCUAGCUCGUCUUUGGCUGGGAUAAUUACGUCGUCAACAUAUGGUAGUGCUAUACCUUUUCUAGUCAGUGAUCGAAAUAUUGCGCCAAUAUGCCUUUGGAAUACUCCUGGGGAACUCGACAAACCAAAUGGGACCUUGCGAAACUGGUAUUGUCCGCUUUGCGUCACAAAUGAGGUGUACUUCCUACUCUCUUCGGCUACAGGAACAUGGAAAAACCCAUUUUUCAAGUCAAUCGUACUGAAUACUACAGCGUCCUGCAAACGAUCUAGCUGGUCAUCUAUCAACGGCAAUGGGAAAUGAUCUUUUUCGAUGACUUUAUUGAUGC
RNAcentral lists this long non-coding RNA (415 nucleotides) under Drosophila guanche. The record is from RNAcentral. Lineage: Eukaryota; Metazoa; Arthropoda; Insecta; Diptera; Drosophilidae.